CACAGAAUUUGCUGAAGAUAUUUUGCUGAACAUUUUUUAUUAUAUAUAAUAUUACAGCUAAACAAAGAGCUGUUAAGUAAUUUUUUUAAUUUAAAUAUUGGCUACUAAUCCAAAACUAUGACCAUAAAUUUGAAUCAUGACAAUGGUUUCGAGCCAAUGCUUUGCACCUUUACAAGACAAUGCAACAUGCAAUUGCACUUCCAGAGAACUUAAUUUCCAGAUGGUUUCAAUAUCAAAUCUAGUCCAUAAGAGUCCUGAAAAAAAAAGUUAAAUGAUUUCCUAGUCUGGUAAAGCUUUCUAAUCGAUCUUUAAUGUUUUUGUUAUAGAUAUGUAAAUACAAAUGCAUUAAAUGAUACGAUAAUCAUUACUGCUAUAUUUGAACAAUUACUUUUUUAAAUGCUUGUCUGAUAUCAUUGUUUC
This is a non-coding RNA of Pelobates cultripes (western spadefoot toad), 420 nucleotides long. The record is from the annotation of a GenBank genome assembly. NCBI's taxonomy places the organism in Eukaryota, Metazoa, Chordata, Amphibia, Anura, Pelobatidae.